This 27-nucleotide non-coding RNA is filed under the name Mus musculus (house mouse). Lineage: Eukaryota; Metazoa; Chordata; Mammalia; Rodentia; Muridae. The record is from RNAcentral.
UAACAGCAAGUAUUGAAAGGACCAAGU